This 65-nucleotide transfer RNA is filed under the name Dipodomys ordii (Ord's kangaroo rat). It matches the Rfam family "tRNA". Rfam says of the family: Transfer RNA (tRNA) molecules are approximately 80 nucleotides in length. Their secondary structure includes four short double-helical elements and three loops (D, anti-codon, and T loops). Further hydrogen bonds mediate the characteristic L-shaped molecular structure. tRNAs have two regions of fundamental functional importance: the anti-codon, which is responsible for specific mRNA codon recognition, and the 3' end, to which the tRNAs corresponding amino acid is attached (by aminoacyl-tRNA synthetases). tRNAs cope with the degeneracy of the genetic code in two manners: having more than one tRNA (with a specific anti-codon) for a particular amino acid; and 'wobble' base-pairing, i.e. permitting non-standard base-pairing at the 3rd anti-codon position. Lineage: Eukaryota; Metazoa; Chordata; Mammalia; Rodentia; Heteromyidae. The record is from Rfam by way of RNAcentral.
GGUGGCUCAGCGGUAGAGUGCUUGCCUUGCAAGCAUGAGGCCCUGGGUUCGAUUCCUCAGUACCA